RNAcentral lists this ribosomal RNA (493 nucleotides) under uncultured bacterium. Its description in RNAcentral is "bacterial SSU rRNA". It matches the Rfam family "Bacterial small subunit ribosomal RNA", at positions 28 to 506 of the family's 1533-position model. The record is from RNAcentral.
GAUGAACGCUAGCGGCAGGCUUAAUACAUGCAAGUUGAGGGGCAGCAUGAUAUACGCGAGUAUAUUGAUGGCGACCGGCGGACGGGUGAGUAAUAGGUAGGAGACCUACCUCAUACAGGGGGAUAGCAUAGAGAAAUCUGUGGUAAUACCCCAUGAGGUUAUAUGAAUAGAGGCAUAUAAUCAAAGCAUAAGCGAUUAUGCGGUAUGAGAGGGGCCUACUGACCAUUAGCUAGUUGGUGAGGUAAGGGCUCACCAAGGCGAAGAUGGUUAGGGGUUUGAGAGAGAGACCCCCCACAUUGGAACUGAGAGACGGUCCAGACUCCUACGGGAGGCAGCAGUAGGGAAUAUUGGGCAAUGGGCGAAAGCCUGACUCAGCCAUGCCGCGUGAAGGAAGACGGCCUUAUGGGUUGUAAACUUCUUUACUACGCGAAUAGAGGUUAGUACGAGAUACUAAUAGGAAGGUAGUGUAGUAAAAAGCAACCGGUAACUCCGU